AACGAACGCUGGCGGCAUGCCUAACACAUGCAAGUCGAGCGCCUGUAGCAAUACAGGAGCGGCGCACGGGUGAGUAACGCGUGGGAACCUACCCUUAGGUUCGGAACAACCGCGGGAAACUGCGGCUGAUACCGGAUGAUGUCUUCGGACCAAAGAUUUAUCGCCUUUGGAGGGGCCCGCGUCGGAUUAGGUAGUUGGUGAGGUAACGGCUCACCAAGCCUACGAUCCGUAGCUGGCUGAGAGGAUGACCAGCCACACUGGGACUGAGACACGGCCCAGACUCCUACGGGAGGCAGCAGUGGGGAGUAUUGGACAAUGGGGGCAACCCUGAUCCAGCAAUGCCGCGUGGGUGAUGAAGGCC
This 361-nucleotide ribosomal RNA is filed under the name uncultured bacterium. Its description in RNAcentral is "bacterial SSU rRNA". It matches the Rfam family "Bacterial small subunit ribosomal RNA", at positions 29 to 416 of the family's 1533-position model. The record is from RNAcentral.